RNAcentral lists this transfer RNA (81 nucleotides) under Paragonimus westermani. RNAcentral's name for it is "tRNA-Lys". It matches the Rfam family "tRNA". From Rfam's summary of the family: Transfer RNA (tRNA) molecules are approximately 80 nucleotides in length. Lineage: Eukaryota; Metazoa; Platyhelminthes; Trematoda; Plagiorchiida; Troglotrematidae. The record is from RNAcentral.
GGCUUCGUAGCUCAGGUGGUACAGCAUUUGCCACCUUGAGGCAUGCUGUUUCUUUCGCUGGUUCGAUUCCAACCGAAGCCC